RNAcentral lists this ribosomal RNA (279 nucleotides) under Stenotrophomonas maltophilia. RNAcentral's name for it is "partial 16S ribosomal RNA". It matches the Rfam family "Bacterial small subunit ribosomal RNA", at positions 90 to 377 of the family's 1533-position model. The record is from RNAcentral. Lineage: Bacteria; Pseudomonadati; Pseudomonadota; Gammaproteobacteria; Lysobacterales; Lysobacteraceae.
UGGGAGUGGCGUUUGGMUGAGGAAUAAUCGGAACUACUUUUUCGUGAYGGGUUACGUSGGGAAACUUACGCUAAUACCGCAUACGAMCUACGGGUGAUWCUGGGGAUCUUCGGACCUUGCGCGWUUGAAUGAGCCGAKUCGGAUUAGCUAGUUGGCGGGGUAAAGGCCCACCAAGGCGARGAUCCGUAGCUGGUCUGAGAGGAUGAUMKCCACACUGGRACUGKGACACGGUCCAGACUCCUACGGGAGGCKGCAGUGGGGAAUAUUGGACAAUGGGCG